RNAcentral lists this ribosomal RNA (464 nucleotides) under uncultured bacterium. RNAcentral describes it as "partial 16S ribosomal RNA". It matches the Rfam family "Bacterial small subunit ribosomal RNA", at positions 29 to 507 of the family's 1533-position model. The record is from RNAcentral.
ACGAACGCUGGCGGCGUGCUUAACACAUGCAAGUCGAACGGAAAGGCCCCUUCGGGGGUACUCGAGUGGCGAACGGGUGAGUAACACGUGAGUAACCUGCCCUUGACUUCGGGAUAACUUCAGGAAACUGGGGCUAAUACCGGAUAGGAAUCCUUGCUGCAUGGUGGGGGUUGGAAAGCUUCGGCGGUUUUGGAUGGACUCGCGGCUUAUCAGCUUGGUGGUGGGGUAGUGGCUUACCAAGGCUUUGACGGGUAGCCGGCCUGAGAGGGCGACCGGCCACAUUGGGACUGAGAUACGGCCCAGACUCCUACGGGAGGCAGCAGUGGGGAAUAUUGCACAAUGGGCGGAAGCCUGAUGCAGCAACGCCGCGUGCGGGAUGACGGCCUUCGGGUUGUAAAACGCUUUCAGCAGGGGCGAAGCUUGUGGUGACGGUACCUGCAGAAGAAGCACCGGCUAACUACGUG